Molecule: ribosomal RNA, 253 nt
Filed under: uncultured bacterium
Lineage: Bacteria
Description: partial 16S ribosomal RNA
Rfam family: Bacterial small subunit ribosomal RNA
Source: RNAcentral
UACGUAGGGUGCGAGCGUUAAUCGGAAUUACUGGGCGUAAAGCGUGCGCAGGCGGUUUUGUAAGCCAGAUGUGAAAUCCCCGAGCUUAACUUGGGAACUGCAUUUGGGACUGCAAGGCUAGAGUACGGCAGAGGGGGGUAGAAUUCCUGGUGUAGCAGUGAAAUGCGUAGAUAUCAGGAGGAAUACCGAUGGCGAGGGCAGCCCCCUGGGUCGAUACUGACGCUCAUGCACGAAAGCGUGGGGAGCAAACAGG